RNAcentral lists this ribosomal RNA (253 nucleotides) under uncultured bacterium. RNAcentral describes it as "partial 16S ribosomal RNA". It matches the Rfam family "Bacterial small subunit ribosomal RNA", at positions 524 to 776 of the family's 1533-position model. The record is from RNAcentral.
GACGUAGGGGGCCAGCGUUGUUCGGAAUUACUGGGUGUAAAGGGUUCGUAGGCGGUGCGGCAAGUCGGGAGUGAAAUCUCUGGGCUUAACCCAGAGGCUGCUUCCGAAACUGCCGUGCUUGAGUGUGGGAGAGGCGCGUGGAAUUGCAGGUGUAGCGGUGAAAUGCGUAGAUAUCUGCAGGAACACCCGUGGCGAAGGCGGCCUGCUGGGCCGAUCCUGACGCUGAGGCGCGAAGGCGUGGGGAGCGAACGGG